Molecule: ribosomal RNA, 425 nt
Filed under: uncultured bacterium
Lineage: Bacteria
Description: bacterial SSU rRNA
Rfam family: Bacterial small subunit ribosomal RNA
Source: RNAcentral
GUGGGGAAUAUUGGACAAUGGGCGAAAGCCUGAUCCAGCCAUGCCGCGUGAGUGAUGAAGGCCUUAGGGUUGUAAAGCUCUUUCAGUAGGGAAGAUAAUGACGGUACCUACAGAAGAAGCCCCGGCUAACUUCGUGCCAGCAGCCGCGGUAAUACGAAGGGGGCUAGCGUUGUUCGGAUUUACUGGGCGUAAAGCGCACGUAGGCGGAUUGGUCAGUUAGAGGUGAAAUCCUGGAGCUCAACUCCAGAACUGCCUUUAAUACUGCCAGUCUAGAGUCCAGAAGAGGUGAGUGGAACUCCUAGUGUAGAGGUGGAAUUCGUAGAUAUUAGGAAGAACACCAGUGGCGAAGGCGGCUUACUGGUCCGGAACUGACGCUGAGGUGCGAAAGCGUGGGGAGCAAACAGGAUUAGAAACCCCUGUAGUCC